This is a long non-coding RNA of Athalia rosae (coleseed sawfly), 2267 nucleotides long. RefSeq lists it as uncharacterized. The transcript has 2 exons. NCBI's taxonomy places the organism in Eukaryota, Metazoa, Arthropoda, Insecta, Hymenoptera, Athaliidae. The record is from RefSeq and is a predicted model, not a curated record.
CUCAUCGAAAAGUUCAGGUUAGGUCGUUGUAUUUGACAGCUAAAUCUGAAAUCGGAUCGGUUGUUGGACAUUCUGCGAAACAAAUGCCGACGAUCGCGCAUGUGCAAAUGGGGUGCGCAAUUUCAAGUUGUCCGCAGAAGCGUUAGCCAUUGCAGAGGCUAUCAAACUAGUUCUUCCAAGGCAAUCGGAAAACAAAAUCGUCAUCUGCUCCGAUUCACUCAGUUGCCUUACCAAACUAAAUCACAUAGGAUUAGACUCUAAUUUGCCUAACACUUUCGCCUUCAUUAAAUCUGAACUGGCUAAGGCCUUUGAUUAUGCUCAAAAUAUAAAACUUAUCCGGAUACCUAGCCACUCGGGAAUCAUAGUCGAUCCUCUGUUACUAUCUUGUAAUCUCCCUCCAAGAAGAAGGCGGACAGGAAGGAAGCCGCGGCAACAUCCCAACAGGGACCGGGUUCUGACGUCCGCUCUGAACUCUCCUGCAGGCUGGACCAGACACAAGAAAGAAAGAGGGGGAGGAGAGGGGUAUUGAAACAAAAUAUAAAAAUAUAAAUUAAAACUUCAAUAAAUAAAACAAAUAAACUAGAAAUUAAAAGAAUUCUAGUGAUAAUAAGAAUUACAUACAGAUAAAUAUCAAACUUAAGAGUUGCAACUGGACUAACUAUACGAAUCUAAUUUUUUAAUAGAUAAAAACUAAGUUAAGGAUAACUUAAGUGUUUAGUUAUAAGAACAGUAGUAAUAACAAGGAAAUUAAAUAAGAAUUAAACGAGAGAAGAAUCGGUUGAGUUUAAACGAAUAUACAGUUUAUUUGGGACAUGACUCAUUAGAGUUAUACCUGCUGGAAUUAAAAAAAAAAAAAAAGACUAACCUGAUACGCAACUGUUUAUACCGUGUGCACCAAAUGAUUUGGUUCGCCAUUUGGUGCUUGGUACGCGUAUCAAGUAUGCGGUGUAUGUAUGGCUAAUCCGGGUCAGAAUGUUUUUUUACAGGUUAUGAAAACAAACAAGGUUUCAAGAUUAUCAAUUCAGACAAUUUAUUACGUCGUUGACAAUUAACUACAGUACUAUUUACUUACUCAACUAACUUAUAACUUGAAGGUAAAAUAUUCAAAUUGAUUCUAUUAAAUAAAAUACUGGUAAUUUGUGCACCUGAAAUGAUGCCAAUGUGUUAUAAAUAACGUGGGAACAGUCAUAGAAAAUUGCAAUAUACAUAUAAAUAGAUAAUUAUAACGAGUCAUCCUAAAUUAUCACAUGCAGAGGCACAUUGAUUAUAUAAAAGUCACUCCUAAUCGAAUAUUAGGAGUUGAUGAAUGAAUUAGAAUUCUGGAUAGAACAUUACAGUUAUAUCCAUCUGGAGUGAGUCAGGAAACAAUUUAUCAAUUUUUAUUUCAAACUUGUUCAAGAUUUCUAUGGAUAACUAGACAUUAUAUCUACAAACUUGGUAUGGCCUUAGCGAUACCUGCUGUUCUUAUUUGAUUUCAACAGUAAAUUGUCAAAAAUUGUAUGUUUGAUACACGACAUUAAUACAGGCCAUACUAAGCAUUUUACAUUGAUUAAAAGUUGAAAAAAAAGUAAUCAGCUAUAGCCGAAUAAGUCGAUUAGAUAUCAUAAAUUGACAGCAAAGAUUAUUCAGAAUUAAGUUAGGUUUUGCCAAGAACGAACGUGCCGCAAACGUUUAGAAAUUUCACAAUGCAUUGCUCGCUCGGCCUCACAUAACCACAAGAAUGAAUAAAUAUUAUAUGAAUUCCAAGCUAAUUUAACAUCAGUUUAAAGGCUUUUAUGACUUAAAUUUCUUCUUAGGCAAAUAAGAGAUGGUUUUUUAGUGUCACUGACCUCUGUGCUGUACUGGCUAGCAAUACUAUGACAUAGCUCAAGCGCUAAACAUUGAUAAAAAUUUCACCGACACCUGAAUGUUGGAAUUGGUAGAUGUUCAAUGUGAACGAAUAACGUGUGAUGAGUGCCUCAUUGGUACGGUGUAUUGGAGUUAACGUUGAUCAUCUGGUUUGUACUGUAAAAUAUUGAACGGUCAAUAGAGUAAUGUCUAGUUAUGACUUUUCAUAGCAAGCAAAUGUUGGUGAAACGUUCACAGGCAUAGGAAAUUUAUGCUAUGUACAAUAAUUACAUAAAGUACCUGCAAAAUAACACUCUCGUUUUAGCCACAGCCAUAUCUGUAGAAGGGUAAUUAAUAUUUUAAUCUAUAGAUGAAAUAGUUGUACCUAUUUGUAAUAUCCAAAUGACAUUACGAAAUAAAAUUCGUCAAUUUUGCAAGCA